This 427-nucleotide ribosomal RNA is filed under the name uncultured Alcaligenaceae bacterium. Its description in RNAcentral is "bacterial SSU rRNA". It matches the Rfam family "Bacterial small subunit ribosomal RNA", at positions 355 to 774 of the family's 1533-position model. The record is from RNAcentral. Lineage: Bacteria; Pseudomonadati; Pseudomonadota; Betaproteobacteria; Burkholderiales; Alcaligenaceae.
UGGGGAAUUUUGGACAAUGGGGGGAACCCUGAUCCAGCCAUCCCGCGUGUGCGAUGAAGGCCUUCGGGUUGUAAAGCACUUUUGGCAGGAAAGAAAUAGGCCUGGCUAAUACCUGGGCUGAAUGACGGUACCUGCAGAAUAAGCACCGGCUAACUACGUGCCAGCAGCCGCGGUAAUACGUAGGGUGCAAGCGUUAAUCGGAAUUACUGGGCGUAAAGCGUGCGCAGGCGGUUCGGAAAGAAAGGUGUGAAAUCCCAGGGCUUAACCUUGGAACUGCACUUUUAACUACCGGGCUAGAGUGUGUCAGAGGGAGGUGGAAUUCCGCGUGUAGCAGUGAAAUGCGUAGAGAUGCGGAGGAACACCGAUGGCGAAGGCAGCCUCCUGGGAUAACACUGACGCUCAUGCACGAAAGCGUGGGGAGCAAACA